RNAcentral lists this small nucleolar RNA (122 nucleotides) under Corchorus olitorius. RNAcentral describes it as "Small nucleolar RNA Z152/R70/R12/". It matches the Rfam family "Small nucleolar RNA Z152/R70/R12/". From Rfam's summary of the family: Z152 is a member of the C/D class of snoRNA which contain the C (UGAUGA) and D (CUGA) box motifs. Most of the members of the box C/D family function in directing site-specific 2'-O-methylation of substrate RNAs. The record is from Rfam by way of RNAcentral. Lineage: Eukaryota; Viridiplantae; Streptophyta; Magnoliopsida; Malvales; Malvaceae.
UAUGCUAUGAUGAGAUGAAAACACAUAAGUGUUGAUGGGCAGUGGAUUUUGGAUCUUUCAUUUAUUUGGAAGGUCUGCCGUGAGCCCUCUCUUUCAAACGACUUCUCCUUCCACUGAGCUUC